CCGUGUCCUGGACACCCCCUGCCAAGAGAGGCAUGUCUAAGGGCUCUGCCCAUCUCAGGUCACGGGUGAUGUGUCAGAAGUGGGGAGCUCUGUCCAUUAGGAAGAGAGGCUAACAGACUGCCUAUAACUGACAGGAAAAGGAAACUAGAAGCCAAGGUGUUGAGGGGCCUGGGUGAGACACAGGGUGUACAGAGUCUUCAUAAGAAGUUCAAGAACAGGAGCUCCCAUCGUGGCUCCGUGGAAACGAAUCCAACUAGGAACCAUGAGGAUGUGGGUUCAAUACCUGGCUUCACUCCGUGGGUUCAGGAUCCAGUGCUGUCGUAAGCUCUGUAGGGUAGGUAACAGACGCGGCUCGGAUCUGGCGUUGCUGUGGCUGUGGUGUAGGCCGGCGGCAAAGUGCCCUAGCCUGGGAACCUCCAUAUGCCAUGGGUUCAGCCCUCCAAAAAAAGACCAAAGACAAAAAAAAAAGAAGAAGAAGACAUUCAAGAAUAGUCACUAAGUGAUGUGAGGACAAGCUGGGAUGAUGGAGCAGGAGGUGGGGAGCAAGGUAGGAUGGCGUACUGAUGGGGAGGGGACGAGGAGGCCUUCUGGAGCGAUGGAAAUGCUACAUAUCUUCAUCUGGAUGGUACUUACACAGGCGCAUACAGACGGAAAAUUACAUCAGCUACCCAGUACAUUUAAAGACCUGUGGACUUCACUAUACAUAAAUUUUAUCUCAACAAUAAAAGAAAAAAAGAGCAAUGGAAGAGGGGAAAGACCUCUCACAGAUGCCCAUAAAUCAAGAAGCGGGCCCUGACACCGGUUCUCUGGGAGAGCUUAAAAAGAGGCAGAAAGGCCAAUGAGGUGUGAGACCCUUACUCCCAAAUGAGCCAUAGAACUGAUUUCAAAGUUACCCCGCAGGUGGCCAAGUUCAAGUGCAAAUACACCACUGAAUAUAUGCCCAUGGAAGAAGCCUUGAAGGCAGGAAGUAAGAACGACUUUAAAGCACCAUAGCCUUCUUCAUAGCCCUUUAGCUUCAGCUGUCCCAGUUCAUCCUCACAGCCACCCUGGGAAUGGCUGUUAAGUCUCCUACAUAGAGUGGAAUAAACAGAGGCCCAGAGAAGUUCAAGGACUUGCCAAGGUCACAUUGGCCGCGCUAGGACGCAAAUCUCCGCAUGAGUUACCAAGUCCAUGCCCUUUGCUUCUGCACAUGCCCCUCCCACACCAUCCUGCACUUAAAAGCAAUGCAGAGGAGUUCCUGUCAUGGCUCAGUGGUUAACGAAUCCCGACUAGGAACCAUGAGGUUGUAGGUUCGAUCCCUGGCCUUGCUCAGUGGGUUAAGGAUCCAUCGUUGCCGUGAGCUGUGGUGUAGGUCGCAGACGCAGCUCAGAUCCCAAGUUGCUGUGGCUCUGGCGUAGGCCAGUGGCUACAGCUCCGAUUAGACCCCUAGCCUGGGAACCUCCAUAUGCCGCAGGAGCUGCCCUAGAAAAGGCAAAAAGACAAAAACAAAAAUAAAUAAAUAAAUAAUAAAAGCAAUGCAGACAUGUGGAUUCUUAUCUUUAACAAUAACCAAUUACUAGAGACAGUCAUUUUACCCAAAUUGAUUUGGAGAUGGUGCUAAUAGCCAGGAUUUUCUUCAGUAAAAUCUCUAUUCUCAAGAGUCAGCAGUCUUGGAGUUCCCACUGUGGUGCAGUGGGUUAAGAAUCUCACUAUAGCAGCCUGAGUCACUACUGGACCUGUAAAUUCAAUCCCUAGCACAGCACAGUGGGUUAAAAGGAUUCAGCAUUGUCGGAGUUCCCAUCAUGGCUCAGUGGUAACAAACCUAACUACUAUCCAUGAGGACGUGGGUUCGAUCCCUGGCCUCCUCAGUGGGUUAAGGAUCUGGCAUUGCCAUGAGCUGUGGUGUAGGUUGCGGACGUGGCUCAGAUCUCGCGUUGCUGAGGCUGUGGAGUAGGCUGGCGGCUACAGUUCCGAUUAGACCCCUAGCCUGGGAACCUCCAUAUGCCAUGGGAGCAGCCCUAGAAAAGGCAAAAAAAAAAAGAAAGAAAAAAGAAAAAAAAAGAGGAUAUCUCUUACCUUUUACAGAUUUUAUGACAAACCCCAAAGGAAGAUGGGACAAUGCCAGGGGUUUUCCAUCCUUUGUCCAGAACCUCAGGUCUCCUCAGACAGGCAGAGGGUGGACCUGACAGCUUGAGCCAGUAGAUUGAUGGUAACACAGGAAAUCAGACAGACUGUGAGGGACUGUUACUGCUACGCUAAAGCCAUCUCCCCCUGCUCCUCACUAGAGACUCUGGUUUUAUUCAAGCCCCAGAAGAUGAAUCAUGACUAAGUUAAAGCCAACACAGUAAAUUCGUUUGCUGUUCCCAGGUUCUCACUUUCUGGUUCCUACGUAAUCAGGAUAUAGUCCUAGCCAAUGAGACAUAAAGACAAAUCUGCUUCCUGAUUAAAGAGAUAGAAACUACUCCCUUCCUCUACCUUCCUGCCUUGAAUACGCUUGUAUGAGGGGAUGAUGGCUGGAGCUGUGGCAGCCAUCUUGUUAUCAAAAGGUAAUAAUCUUUUAAAAGUAAACACCAGGAAGUUUCCGUGUGGCACAGUGGGUUCAAGAUCCAGCACUGCCACAGCUAUGGCAGAUCCUGGGUCCUUGCUGACAUUUUUGAACUGUUCAUCAACUGUGGGUCAGACUUGAUACUGAGGUAAUUCAGUGUCAUUAUGAUUUAAGCCGCUGUCUAUUUGGGUCUUUUGUUAUAUGUGUCCUAUCUGUCACAGAGGGCAGAGGCAGGUAGACACCAGCUGCAGAAUUCAAAUCACAUGGAUGAGCCCAGAUAAGAUGCAGGGGCAGGCAGGCCAGGCAAAGAUCUGGAGGGCAGCAAGAGGCAAAAUUCAGAAAUCACUCAGGAAUUAUUCAGAAAUCAUUCAGCCUUUCCUGGACUACCUGGCCCAUCAGCAGCAGAAGCCUGAACCUGCUACACCCACUCACUGCUCUGAUGGUGUUCCAGGAGUCCCUCAUCAGUGAUAACCCAAAGCUGGUGCACAAAGAACUCUUGCCCUUCACAGCCUCAGAGUCACAAGGAUCUGGGGUUUUGACAUAUUGUAAUAUUGGUGAGAAGAAAGAAGCUGACUUUUUCUCUUUUUAAUUCAGCCCAAUACUAAAAAAUAUGUACACUCGGGGGUUCCCAUUGUGGCUCAGUGGAAAUGAAUCUGACUAGUAUCCAUGAGGAUGGAGGUUUGAUCCCUGGCCUCGCUCAGUGGGUUGGGGAUCUGCAUUGCCAUGAGCUGUGGGAUAGGUCGCAGACGCAGCUCGUAUCUGCAUGGCUGUGGCUGUGGCAUAGGCCAGCUGCUGCAGCUCCAACCAGAUCCCCUAGCCAGGGAGCCUCCAUAUACCAUAGGUGUGUCCCCCCGCCCUCGCCAAAAAAAUAGUAGAAAUAAAAUAACUCCCAUAAGGUUACUUAUCUCAUGCAAGAGUUAGCCUGGAAGCAAGGGUCUUCCAGAUUAUGUUAGUUUUGUGGCUCAACAAAAUGAGGGCUUGGGGUCAGCUAUCCUGGUAUUCUCUUGACUUUACCCACAUGGUGAUAAGAGGCUUGCAACAACAACGCACAGUCCAUAACAUCCAAAGACAGGAAGAGGCCUUUUGUAUCCCUUGUCUGUUGAGCCAUUAAAAUGUCCCCUGUGGAAUUGUGAUUUAUAGCAGUAAAUAUACAUCUGGCCUUCAUCCCCGUUCCUGGCACAGAGCUCAUAAUACUCUUGGAAUUUCCUAAGUGAGAAGAGCCAUAAGGUGAAAGGAGACUCUUUUGUUAUUCAUAACAAGGCCCUUUCAACCACACCCCAGCAGAUGUUUAAAAGGUGAUUUUUGGAAAGCCCCUAGAUGAACAAGCACAGGAUGGGGCUGGUUGCCAAGGGGAAGCAACCAGGUGAUUAGACAGCUGGUUCUCUCAGUCCCACCCCUCAACCUCCUGGGAGGGGAGAGGAGCUGGGGAUUGAGUUCAAUUACCAAUGGCCGAUGAUGUAAUCAAUCACGUCUAGGUGAUGAGACUCCGUAAAAAACAAGCCCUUGGAGUUCCCGUCAUGACUGAGCAGAAGCGAAUCUGACUGGCAUCCAUGAGGAUGCAGGUUCCAUCUCUGGCCUCGCUCAGUGGGUUAAGGAGCCGACAUUGCUGUGGCUGUGGCGCAGGCCAGCAGCGGCAGCUCAUUCAACCCCUAGCCUGGGAACUUCCAUUUGCUGAGAGUGAGGCCCUAAAAAAAAAAAAAAAAAAAAAAAA
This 4235-nucleotide long non-coding RNA is filed under the name Sus scrofa (pig). RNAcentral describes it as "lncRNA (ENSSSCG00025075825.1)". The record is from RNAcentral. Lineage: Eukaryota; Metazoa; Chordata; Mammalia; Artiodactyla; Suidae.